GGCUGUUACAAGCAUGAAUCCAUAUUUUACAAGGUAAAUUCGUUUUAAAGCUCCCACUUGUUUGGAAUGUGGAUUAUAUAUUAGAGAAACCGCUAAUAACGUCAAUAAUUAAUUAAUUAUCUAAUUAAUUAAGGGUAAAAAAAGUCUAUUUGUCCUAAAUCUGGAAAAGUAGAAUAUGUAGUAUAUCAGUUGUCUGGUUUCCAUAGUUCAAGCUCUGGUUAGUUUGGGAUCAGAUGGCCGUGUGUGAAUAAUGUCCCAGGAUAUUAUUAUUAUUAUUAUUAUGACUACAUAGUCGUGUAGCAGAUGCCAUCAAUGUCUGCAGGAUCCUCUGAAUUUUGG
This is a long non-coding RNA of Nymphalis io (European peacock), 339 nucleotides long. RefSeq lists it as uncharacterized. The transcript has 2 exons. Lineage: Eukaryota; Metazoa; Arthropoda; Insecta; Lepidoptera; Nymphalidae. The record is from RefSeq and is a predicted model, not a curated record.